GAUGAAGAACGCAGCGAAAUGCGAUAAGUAAUGUGAAUUGCAGAAUUCAGUGAAUCAUCGAAUCUUUGAACGCACCUUGCGCUCCUUGGUAUUCCGAGGAGCAUGCCUGUUUGAGUGUCAUUAAUAUAUCAACCUCUUCAGCUUAUGCUUGUUGAGUGUUGGAUGGUGGGGGUUUGCUGGUGUCUUAUGAAGUCAGCUCCUCUGAAAUGCAUUAGCGGAACAAUUUGUUGACCGUUCAUUGGUGUGAUAAAAAUAUCUACGCUAUUGACGUCAGUCAGUUCAGCUUCUAACAGUCCAUUGACUUGGACAAAUUUUCAUUAAUGUGACCUCAAAUCAGGUAGGACUACCCGCUGAACUUAAGCAUAUCAAUAAGCGGAGGA
Molecule: unclassified non-coding RNA, 380 nt
Filed under: soil metagenome
Description: partial contains 5.8S ribosomal RNA, internal transcribed spacer 2, and large subunit ribosomal RNA
Rfam family: 5.8S ribosomal RNA (bases 1-120)
Source: RNAcentral